RNAcentral lists this ribosomal RNA (264 nucleotides) under uncultured bacterium. RNAcentral's name for it is "partial 16S ribosomal RNA". It matches the Rfam family "Bacterial small subunit ribosomal RNA", at positions 793 to 1055 of the family's 1533-position model. The record is from RNAcentral.
GUCCACGCUGUAAACGAUGGCAACUAGAUGUGGGGGGGUGUCGACUCCCCCCGUGUCGAAGCUAACGCAUUAAGUUGCCCGCCUGGGGAGUACGGCCGCAAGGCUAAAACUCAAAGGAAUUGACGGGGGCCCGCACAAGCAGCGGAGCAUGUUGUUUAAUUCGACGCGACGCGAAGAACCUUACCUGGGCUUGACAUGUGAGUGACCGGUGUGGAAACACACCCUCCCUUCGGGGCACUCUCACAGGUGGUGCAUGGCUGUCGU